Molecule: long non-coding RNA, 812 nt
Organism: Dreissena polymorpha
Lineage: Eukaryota; Metazoa; Mollusca; Bivalvia; Myida; Dreissenidae
Exons: 2
Source: RefSeq, a predicted model, not a curated record
CUUCAAGCCAUUUCAUACACGAAACCGACAAAUAUUUUUGGCGUUCCAAAUAUACAUUUUCUUCGAACAGCGCAAUUGAGAUAAAGUCUUUCGGGGAACGACCUUUUGAUGAACAACUUUUCGGUGAACGAAAUACGUGCGCUUAAAAGAAGCAAAAGAGGUCUAUUGCUCUGAAGACGGAAAGUUUGAACCCGCAAAGGAAAAUGUCAUGACGCCAGCGAAACGUGCGCUACCAACCCAGGUCAUUUCCACAUUAAGAACUGAUAAUGCUUGCAAAACAUUGUGGACCUUAAAUAGUGCUGACAUACAUGGGUGAUCACAGCUGUGCCAAGGAUACUGAAACUGAUUCAACGCCGAAAUUUGAUUUCUGUCUUUUCCUGAGACGUACCUUGACCAUCCCAGCACUAAGAUGAUAAUAAAUUCAUGUCUACUAGAUAAAGCAGUGGCGACAACAAACAUCACAAACCUUCAGGCUUGCCGACGACCGACGACAAAGGAAAAUUCAAUCUGAAUUAGUUUUAAAUAUUCAAUUGAUUGAAUUAAACUUAUCAUUUUUUUCCACAAAUAAACACAUUCCAGCAGUGAAUAUCUCUACCUAACUCAAAAGUGAAUGUUGGAUCUUUGAUCAUGUUAAUUAAAAAAUGUGUUCCCAGAACUCAUUAUAAAUUUUCCAAACUUGUUUAAACAAGAUCAUUUGGUAUUUAAUUUUAAUAAGCUUUUUGUGUAUUGCUGUAGGCUUUGAAUAAAUCUACUGCAUCACCAUGUCAGGAGGAACCUCAGUCUUUUGUUGUUGAAAUAAUAAAGAGAAAAUU